RNAcentral lists this ribosomal RNA (293 nucleotides) under uncultured bacterium. RNAcentral describes it as "partial 16S ribosomal RNA". It matches the Rfam family "Bacterial small subunit ribosomal RNA", at positions 505 to 796 of the family's 1533-position model. The record is from RNAcentral.
GUGCCAGCCGCCGCGGUAAUACGUAGGGUGCAAGCGUUGUCCGGAUUUAUUGGGCGUAAAGAGCUCGUAGGCGGCUUGGCAAGUCGGGUGUGAAAACUCCAGGCUCAACCUGGAGAUGCCACCCGAGACUGCUAUGGCUAGAGUCUGGUAGGGGAGCACGGAAUUCCUGGUGUAGCGGUGAAAUGCGCAGAUAUCAGGAGGAACACCGGUGGCGAAGGCGGUGCUCUGGGCCAGUACUGACGCUGAGGAGCGAAAGCGUGGGGAGCAAACAGGAUUAGAAACCCUUGUAGUCC